GGAGAAUGAUAUAUAGAUAUAUAUAUAGAGAGAGUUCAGCUACUAUGCUAGCUAUUAAUAGCACGAAGUAUUUGGUGCUAUCAAGUUUUCCGCCGUUAGAUCUACCCUUUUGAUCAUUUUCACCCGUUAGAUCAUACUAUUCAACCAACCACCCACUCAACCUUAGGAGACCCACAUCAUCCUAACCGCACAUCUUUUAAUCCAACGGCCAAAAAUUUGAUAGCACCAAUGACUUGGUGCUAUUAAUAGUAUAUUAGCCUAUAUAGUUCUAUAUAUAUAUAGAGAGAGAGAGAGAGAGAGAGAGAACUAGGCUACUAUGCUAUUAAUAGCACCAAGUCAUUGGUGCUAUCAAGUUUUUGGCCAUUGCAUUAAGAGAUGUGUGGUUAGGAUGAUGUGGGCCCCCCUAGGGUUGAGUGGGUGGGUGGUUGGUUGAAUAGUAUGAUCUAACGGAUGAAAAUGAUCCAAAAGGUAGAUCCAACGGCGGAAAACUUGGUAGCACCAAGUCCUUCGUGCUAUUAAUAGCAUAGUAGCCGGACUCUAUAUAUAUAUAUAUAUAUAUAUAUAGAGCUAGUCUCCUAUACUAUUUACGGUACCGGGGCUUCGAUACUAUAGUAUCGUUUUUUAUUUAGGGUGUUCAAAUCAACGAUCCACGUCGUUAAAACUGAUCUAGAGUAUUUAAAGUUUUUAGAAAUAAAAUUUUAUAUUUUUUCGACAUAGUUUACUUUAUAAUCAAACCAUUUCAAAAUUGUCAAUUUUCAAUGGCUACUAUGGUGAGUUUGGAGUUUAACGGUGUAGAAGAAUUUAAAUUUCUUCAAAUUUUGAUAGAAAAUACUUUAAACUAUCUAGAUUAAGGUUAAGAUUUUUUAUCUUGAAUUUAAAAGUCCUAUACUAAAAUUUUAAAGAUUAUUCAAUUUUCACCGUCCAUUUUGACAUAAUUUAUGUACUAAGUAAAUGAUGUCGAAAAAAACUAAAAUUUUAUUCCUAAGAACUUUAUAUACCCUAAAUCAUAUUUAACGGUGUAGAUCGUUAAUUUGAACACCCUAAGAACGAAAACAAGACUAUAUAUAGUAUCGGAGCUCCGGUACUAUAGAUAGUAUAGUAGCCUAAUUCUAUAUAUAUAUAUAUAUAUAUAUAUAUAUAUAGAACUAGACUACUAUGCUAUUAAUAGCAAAGUCAUUUGCGCUACCAAGUUUUUGGCCAUUGGAUCAAGAGAUGUGCGAUUAGGAUGAUGUGGACCCCCUAGAGUUGAGUGGGUGGUUGGUUGAAUAGUAUGAUCUAAUGGGUAAAAAUGAUCAAAAGUGUAGAUCUAACGGCGGAAAACUAAUUGGUAGCACCAAGUGCUUCGUGCUAUUAAUAGCAUAGUAGCCGGACUCUCUCUCUCUCUCUCUCUCUCUCUCUAGAUCUCUCUCUCUCUCUCUCUCUCUCUCUCUC
This 1431-nucleotide long non-coding RNA is filed under the name Ananas comosus (pineapple). RNAcentral's name for it is "long non-coding RNA (ACOM_LNC031131)". Lineage: Eukaryota; Viridiplantae; Streptophyta; Magnoliopsida; Poales; Bromeliaceae. The record is from RNAcentral.